This is a non-coding RNA of Euleptes europaea (tarantolino), 72 nucleotides long. The record is from the annotation of a RefSeq genome assembly. NCBI's taxonomy places the organism in Eukaryota, Metazoa, Chordata, Lepidosauria, Squamata, Sphaerodactylidae.
GGGGGGGUGGCUCAGUGGUAGAGCCUCUGCUUGCCAUGCAGAAGGUCCCAGGUUCAAUCCCCAGCCUCUCCA